UACGUAGGGUGCAAGCGUUAAUCGGAAUUACUGGGCGUAAAGCGUGCGCAGGCGGUUUUGUAAGUCUGUCGUGAAAUCCCCGGGCUUAACCUGGGAAUGGCGAUGGAGACUGCAAGGCUAGAAUCUGGCAGAGGGGGGUAGAAUUCCACGUGUAGCAGUGAAAUGCGUAGAGAUGUGGAGGAAUACCGAUGGCGAAGGCAGCCCCCUGGGAUAACACUGACGCUCAUGCACGAAAGCGUGGGGAGCAAACAGG
Molecule: ribosomal RNA, 253 nt
Filed under: uncultured bacterium
Lineage: Bacteria
Description: partial 16S ribosomal RNA
Rfam family: Bacterial small subunit ribosomal RNA
Source: RNAcentral